Molecule: ribosomal RNA, 591 nt
Filed under: uncultured bacterium
Lineage: Bacteria
Description: bacterial SSU rRNA
Rfam family: Bacterial small subunit ribosomal RNA
Source: RNAcentral
UCUGCCUUAUACUAAGGAAUAACACAAAGAAAUUUGUGCUAAAGCCUUAUAAGCUUACACUAUCUUAUGAUAGAGUAAGAAAAACUUUAGUGGUAUAAGAUGAGCCCGCGUCCGAUUAACUAGUUGGUGGGAUAACAGCCUACCAAGGCUACGAUCGGUAACCGGCCUGAGAGGGUGACCGGUCACACUGGGACUGAGACACGGCCCAGACUCCUACGGGAGGCAGCAGUGGGGAAUAUUGCACAAUGGGGGAAACCCUGAUGCAGCAACGCCGCGUGAAGGAUGAAGGUUUUCGGAUCGUAAACUUCUAUCAGUAGGGAUGAAAAAAAUGACAGUACCUAACUAAGAAGCCCCGGCUAACUACGUGCCAGCAGCCGCGGUAAUACGUAGGGGGCAAGCGUUAUCCGGAUUUACUGGGUGUAAAGGGUGCGUAGGUGGUAUGGUAAGUUGGAUGUGAAAGCCCAAGGCUUAACUUUGGGAUUGCAUCUAAAACUGCCAAACUAGAGUGCAGGAGAGGAAAGUAGAAUUCCUAGUGUAGCGGUGAAAUGCGUAGAUAUUAGGAGGAACACCAGUAGCGAAGGCGGCUUUCUG